This 353-nucleotide ribosomal RNA is filed under the name uncultured bacterium. RNAcentral's name for it is "bacterial SSU rRNA". It matches the Rfam family "Bacterial small subunit ribosomal RNA", at positions 443 to 793 of the family's 1533-position model. The record is from RNAcentral.
GGUAGUGUAGUUAAUAGCUGCAUUAUUUGACGUUAGCGACAGAAGAAGCACCGGCUAACUCCGUGCCAGCAGCCGCGGUAAUACGGAGGGUGCGAGCGUUAAUCGGAAUUACUGGGGCGUAAAGCGCAUGCAGGUGGUUUGUUAAGUCAGAUGUGAAAGCCCGGGGCUCAACCUCGGAAUAGCAUUUGAAACUGGCAGACUAGAGUACUGUAGAGGGGGGUAGGAAUUUCAGGUGUAGCGGUGAAAUGCGUAGAGAUCUGAAGGAAUACCGGUGGCGAAGGCGGCCCCCUGGACAGAUACUGACACUCAGAUGCGAAAGCGUGGGGAGCAAACAGGAUUAGAUACCCUGGUAG